GGGGAAAGUAUGAAGUCAUCUUUCUCAUUGCUCUCCUCUUUAAGUCCAAGAGCAAAGUACUUCUAAAAGGCAGGCUUUGUGGUUCGCAUGGAAUGUAAAUAGCUCAAAUGGCCCCACUUCCAAGAAGCCUUCUUUAACCCUAAGGCUGAAUGAAACAGAAAAAUCAGUUGGAAGUGAUUUCCCCUCUGUGGUGUCUUCCAGUCCUGGAGAGAACACUGGGAGAUGACUGGAUGACAUGGCUCCCUGUCUGGCCUGUGUCUAUUGAUUUGGUGAACUGGCUUCUACAGGAACAUAGAGAAGAUGUGGCAGAGGUCAGAUGGCUCUGAAAAUGGAGGGGGGAAAAGCUGCUAUGGUUUUCUUUGUCCAGGCCACUGUCAUAAGGAAGCCUGGAAGAGUGAAGAAAGGUCUGAUUGAUCACAAGGUCCUAUCAAAUGUCAAAGCUGGCCCUGGCUGACCUCCCAUCUAUUCAGAGCUGCUUUGAUUUAAUCUCCAAACUGGCUGCUUCUCCAGGCUGGAAGAAGAUUGAAAUUUCCAACAAGGCAAAGGUGAUGAAAAUGUCUUCAUGGAAUCUUUGGGUACUAAGGAAAAGAGAAAAUGGAGGAGGGCAAUUACCAAAACAAGAAAUCAUCUAAUAAAACAUGAUCCACAGAACAGGAAGCCUGAUUUCUCUUGUCAAGUCACUAAACAGGCAAGAGCCUUCUCAGAUAUGUCCUGAACACCUUCUCUUUGCCUGACAAGUUCAAGAAAUUAAGUCAAAUAAAUAUUUGAUGGAAAUCUACCUGGCUCCAAAGACUGGGCUUCUAACAAUCCUCUCCACAACGUUUGAAUACAAAAAAAGUAUCCUGCUAAAGGACAGAGCCCCUCCAUCUCUUCCCGCCAAGCUCUCUGCGUGCCUGGUGAGAGGUAUAGCACUUUUGCUUUCUUUUUCAAUUUGCUCUUUAAAUGAGUGACAAUAUCACCUAGUGAUUAAGGACCUGCCUGGAGCUGGGCUGAUGCUUGGAGUUGGGCUGAACCUGAGCCUGAAUUCGAGCUCUUCUUCUUCUUGCUGACUUUGACCCUAGGUGAGUUAAUUUUUCUAAGCUUCAGUUUCUUGGUCUAUAAAAAGGAGGAUGAUAAUUCUUUUCUCACUCAGUAUUGUUUUAAAGAUUAGUAAGAUAAUAUAUGCAACGCAUUUAGCACAGUGCCUUGCACAUGAUAAACCCUGAAUAAAUGGUAGCCAGUUUUAAAAUACAACAUAAUUUUAAGCGUUGGUAUUUCUUAUGACUCCAAUCUCAUCCCUCCUUUUCCAUUGUCACUACAUUUGCUCUGUGUCUCCCAUAUCGAAUCUGGAACUUGCAUUCAAAGCC
RNAcentral lists this long non-coding RNA (1346 nucleotides) under Sus scrofa (pig). RNAcentral's name for it is "lncRNA (ENSSSCG00025071141.1)". Lineage: Eukaryota; Metazoa; Chordata; Mammalia; Artiodactyla; Suidae. The record is from RNAcentral.